CCCUUAGAUGUUCUGGGCCGCACGCGCGCUACACUGACGAUGGCAACGAGUUUUUCCUUCGCCGAAAGGUGUGGGUAAUCUUUUGAAACAUCGUCGUGCUGGGGAUAGAUCAUUGCAAUUUUUGAUCUUGGACGAGGAAUUCCUAGUAAGCGCGAGUCAUCAGCUCGCGUUGAUUACGUCCCUGCCCUUUGUACACACCGCCCGUCGCUACUACCGAUUGAAUGGUUUAGUGAGGACUCCUGAUUGGCGCCGCCGCCCCGGCAACGGAGCAGCGGACUGCCGAAAAGUUGUUCAAACUUGAUCAUUUAGAGGAAGUAAAAGUCGUAACA
This 329-nucleotide ribosomal RNA is filed under the name uncultured eukaryote. RNAcentral describes it as "partial 18S ribosomal RNA". It matches the Rfam family "Eukaryotic small subunit ribosomal RNA", at positions 1470 to 1796 of the family's 1831-position model. The record is from RNAcentral.